UAGAGGAAUUAUGUAGGACUAUAGUAUAGAAAUUAAUCUUUUACUUUAAUUUGCCAAAUUUUUUUAAUAAU
Trichosporon asahii var. asahii CBS 2479 is the source of this 71-nucleotide non-coding RNA. NCBI's taxonomy places the organism in Eukaryota, Fungi, Basidiomycota, Tremellomycetes, Trichosporonales, Trichosporonaceae. The record is from the annotation of a RefSeq genome assembly.